Molecule: ribosomal RNA, 525 nt
Filed under: Triticum aestivum (bread wheat)
Lineage: Eukaryota; Viridiplantae; Streptophyta; Magnoliopsida; Poales; Poaceae
Description: partial small subunit ribosomal RNA
Source: RNAcentral
AUGGCCAAUAUCCACCACGUCAACAACGUUGCACAGAUGCUCGGUGUCGUAGUCCAGUUCGUUGGAGUCGACCUCAAUGCAGCAGCCGGCCACACCGUGUUUAUCCACGGCGUGAACUCCAUCAACGACUGCGCUGAGAUGCUGCGCCACGCUGAGUACCUCGAAGACAGAGGUGCAGUCGUCUCCAACGUAGAUUCACUCCGUCUGCUGGUUCGUGCCAACGAUCUCAUCCUUGACGUCUCUGAUCAUCUGGUGGGGAGCCUCGUCUUCGAUCCGAUCCACGACGUCAACGACCUUCGCCUUCGACGCCUUGGAGCAUUCGCCACUUGCAUCGACGAUCUGGCGACCGGCCUUCAAGCGGGCGUCUUCCACGACUUCGCCAAUGUCUUCGCCGCCAGGAUCACUGAGGCCAUCGCUGGAUUCGGGGACGGCCUCUUGACAGCUCAACAGGUCAUCAUAGAGGCGGUGGGUGCGUCUGCCAAUCUUGACCAUGACACUUUCCACACAUAUAUUCCAAUCCCGUAG